Molecule: ribosomal RNA, 427 nt
Filed under: Cutibacterium acnes
Lineage: Bacteria; Bacillati; Actinomycetota; Actinomycetes; Propionibacteriales; Propionibacteriaceae
Description: bacterial SSU rRNA
Rfam family: Bacterial small subunit ribosomal RNA
Source: RNAcentral
GACGAACGCGGCGGCGUGCUUAACACAUGCAAGUCGAACGGAAAGGCCCUGCUUUUGUGGGGUGCUCGAGUGGCGAACGGGUGAGUAACACGUGAGUAACCUGCCCUUGACUUUGGGAUAACUUCAGGAAACUGGGGCUAAUACCGGAUAGGAGCUCCUGCUGCAUGGUGGGGGUUGGAAAGUUUCGGCGGUUGGGGAUGGACUCGCGGCUUAUCAGCUUGUUGGUGGGGUAGUGGCUUACCAAGGCUUUGACGGGUAGCCGGCCUGAGAGGGUGACCGGCCACAUUGGGACUGAGAUACGGCCCAGACUCCUACGGGAGGCAGCAGUGGGGAAUAUUGCACAAUGGGCGGAAGCCUGAUGCAGCAACGCCGCGUGCGGGAUGACGGCCUUCGGGUUGUAAACCGCUUUCGCCUGUGACGAAGCGGA